UUAUUUUGUGAUGAAUGUUAGGGUUCCUAGCACAUGAGGUUUGUGUAGGGACCUUAUUAGUGAGGCGGUGUAGAGACCCAUGUGUUGUUUGACUCUCGAGCAUCGCAAUUCUUCAGUUUGGAGCAGUUAAGGUUGCUAGAGGGCAGUUUCUGGCGGUUCUGGGGAGAGCUAAUGGUGUGGAUAUUCAAAUUGCAGGGGAGUCGAUGCCAGCAGAUCUGAUUAUCAGCCGUGUAGAGUUGUAUGAUGUUAUUUUGGGAAUGGAUUGGUUGGAUCAUUAUAGAGUACAUCUUGAUUGCCACCGUGGAAGAGUUUCUUUUGAGCGGCCAAAGGGGAGGUUGGUUUAUCAGGGAGUGAGACCUACCUCAGGGAGUCUCAUCAUCUCAGCAAUGUAGGCAGAGAAAAUGAUCGAGAAGGGCUGCGAGGCUUACCUGGUGACGAUAUCUAUGCCGGAGUCUGUGGGGCAGGUAGAAGUGAGCGACAUUUGGGUUGUUCAGGAGUUCAAUCGUUGCAGGGAUUAUUACUAUCACGGUCUGAUCCUUUCACGAUUGAGUUGGAACCAGGGACAGCGCCGUUGU
Molecule: small RNA, 575 nt
Filed under: Arabidopsis thaliana (thale cress)
Lineage: Eukaryota; Viridiplantae; Streptophyta; Magnoliopsida; Brassicales; Brassicaceae
Description: ATSL096090
Source: RNAcentral